This 292-nucleotide ribosomal RNA is filed under the name uncultured bacterium. Its description in RNAcentral is "partial 16S ribosomal RNA". It matches the Rfam family "Bacterial small subunit ribosomal RNA", at positions 505 to 796 of the family's 1533-position model. The record is from RNAcentral.
GUGUCAGCAGCCGCGGUAAUACGUAGGGUGCAGGCGUUAAUCGGAAUUACUGGGCGUAAAGCGUGCGCAGGCGGUUUGUUAAGACAGGUGUGAAAUCCCCGGGCUUAACCUGGGAAUGGCGCUUGUAACUGGCAAGCUAGAGUGUAGCAGAGGGGGGUGGAAUUCCACGUGUAGCAGUGAAAUGCGUAGAUAUGUGGAGGAACACCGAUGGCGAAGGCAGCCCCCUGGGUUAACACUGACGCUCAUGCACGAAAGCGUGGGGAGCAAACAGGAUUAGAAACCCUUGUAGUCC